UAUCAGACUUGUUAGAACAACCUUGUGACAAGUCUGAUAAUGCCAUCAAGCUUGUUACAAGUUGUUAACAGCUUGUUCCAAACAUGUUACAACAACUGGGAACAAGCAGUGCGAAGACAACUUGUCGACAGCUUGUGAACAGAUUUGUAACAACUUGUAACAACUUGUGCGUUUUUACGAGUGUACAAUAAUGAGUCAAUCAUUGACAUUUAGAAAAAACAUAUUCUGGUGUACAUAGGUUAUGAACACCAGGUUAAGGUUUGUACGCUUAUGAAAAUGUUCAUAAUUAUAUGGAUAACCUCAAACUAAGAUCGUUUUCCCAUCCUCAGAUGAUAAUUAAAAGUUGAUUUCCAACUCGUUUGCUUUACUCGUCCAUUGGCUCGUGAACGCUCAUGUCUUCGAGUUGUAUAUAAUCAGUUGUGAUAGUUUGUUCCUCUUGUGGUUCGGCAGGACCAUUUACGAUCGCACCCGCAAAACGCCUUCGUUUGAAACAACCACAACAGGCCAUCACACAAACAACUACAGCGACAACGGAUAACACCGAAGUGACAACAAUUAUGAGCAACGCGGCGAUAGAGAACUUGUCUUUAUCCUUGCAAUUGUUCGGGUAAUGACACCGACCUGAAGAGUAAACAUAUAUAUACAUUUUAAAACAUCCUGGUUCAAAUUCUCCAGGUUAGGCUACACACGUAUACUGAUCUCACAACUUGUCAACAAGUUGUAACAAUGUUGUUAUUUUAUCAACAUUGCUAUACAAGCUUGUCAUUCCCAACUUGUUGACAAGUUGUUGGAACAUGCAACGUGUAACAAGUCUGUUAAGCUCAACCACCUUGUAGCAGUUGCCACAACAAGCCGUAGACAACUUGUCAACAAGAGUAAAUAUAUACAUUUUAAAAACAUCCUGGUUCAAAUUUUCCAGGUUUGCAGCAAGCUUGUCAACAAGUUGUAACAAUGUUGUUAUAUCAAAUUGCUACAAGAUUGUAACUCACAACUUGUUGACAAGUUGUUGAAUUGCAGGACGAUAUAACAAGUUGUUGAAACAACUUGUAACAAGUCUGUUGAGCUUGACCACCUUGUAGCAAGUUUUCAGCAAGUUGUAGACAACCUGUCAACAAGCUGGGAACAAACAGUGCAAACACAUGGUCACAACUUGUCAACAAGAUGUGUUCGCAACAGGCUUGUAGCAAGCUUGUCAACAAGUUGUAACAAUAUUGUUAUUUUAUCAAGUUGCUAUAAGCUUGUCACUCCCAACUUGUUGACAAGUUGUUGAAUUGCAGGACGAUAUAGCAAGUUGUUGGAGCAACUUGUAACAAGUCUGUUGAGCUCAACCACCUUGUUGCAAGUUGUCAACAAGCCGUAUAGACAACUUGUCGACAAGCUGGGAACAAGCAUGCAGUGCGAACACAUCCUAUUGACAAGUUGUCGGAUAGCAUUGCUACAAGUCGCUGCAGGUUUGUUACAACUUGUAUAGGCUACGUUAUUACUUGUGUACUACACGCGUAAAAACGCAUAGCUUGUAACAAGUCUGCAAACAAGUUGUUACAAGUCUGUUUACAAGCUGUCAACAAGUUGUGUUCGCACUGCUUGUUCCCAGUUUGUUGUAACAAGUUUGGAACAAGCUGUUAACAACUUGUAACAAGCUUGAUGGCAUUAUCAGUCUUGUUACAAGACUGUGCCAACAAGUUUGUUACAG
Molecule: long non-coding RNA, 1693 nt
Filed under: Paramuricea clavata
Lineage: Eukaryota; Metazoa; Cnidaria; Anthozoa; Malacalcyonacea; Plexauridae
Source: RNAcentral